Long non-coding RNA from Ctenopharyngodon idella (grass carp), 1711 nucleotides. RefSeq lists it as uncharacterized. The record is from RefSeq and is a predicted model, not a curated record. The transcript has 2 exons. NCBI's taxonomy places the organism in Eukaryota, Metazoa, Chordata, Actinopteri, Cypriniformes, Xenocyprididae.
UUCACAUUCAUGUAUUUGGCAGAUGUUUGUAUCCAAAAGUGACUUACAUUGCAUUCACUUUAUUCUUUAUGCAAGCUGUUCAUGCAUUCCCUGGGAAUCGAACCCAUGACCUUCGUGUUUCAAAUGUUUCACUAUACUCUUUAAACAUUCACAUUCAUGGAUUUGGCAGAUUCUUGUAUCGAAAAGUGAAUUGCAUUGGAUUCACUGUAUUCUUUAUGUAAUCUGUUCAUGCCUUCCUGGGAAUCGAACCCAUGACCUUGGUGUUGCAAAUCUAUUUCACUAUUUUUAUAUUUACAUUCAUGCAUUUGGCAGAUUCUUGUAUCAAAAAGUGACUUACAUUGCAUUAACUGUAUUCUUUAUGAAAUCUGUUCAUGCUUUCCGUAGGAAUCGAACCCAUGACCUUGGUGUUGCAAAUCUGUUUCAUUAUACUUUUUAAUCAUUUACAAUACAUUAAUGAAUUUGGCAGAUGCAUAUAUCCAAAAUAAAUUUACAUUGCAUUCACUUCACUGUAUUCUUUAUGAAAUCUGUUCAUGCUUUUCCUGGGAAUCGAACCCACGACCUUGGUGUUGCAAAUCUGUUUCACUAUACUCUUUGAACAUUUACAUUCAUGCAUUUGGCAGAUGUUUGUAUCCAAAGUGACUUUCAUUUAUUUGAAUGUGAUUAGUUCAUGCUUUCCCUGGGAAUCGAACCCAUGAUCUUGGUGUUGCGAGCACCUGCUCUACUGUUUGAGCUUCAGGAAGGCAAUCUCAUGAUUUCAGACCCUGUUUUAACUCUGUCAUGAUGAUUAGGAGCAUGUUAUAUUUGACUGAAACGUGUGAUGCAAUCGUGUUUGAGAUAUGACGAGUGUUUGAGCUCUGCUGCGGCCGGAGUCCUUGACCCGUCGAAUGAAAGCGCAGCGCUGGAAUACCUGCGUCAUACGGGCAUGUGGCAAGAUCUGCUUGACCUGUCGAUGUGACGAUUACAGAAUCAUGAUCCACUGAUGUCUGUGCCGUUGAUCUACAGAGCUGAACACUGUCUGGAAAACUUACACAUGCUUCACAGGAUCAUUCCUGUUCAAUGAGCUUCAGUUCAGAAUGAUUUUGAUUUAGCAGCAUGUGAAGGAUGAUGAGCGUUUCAGACUGAAGAAUUGCUGCAUUGACAUCAGAAGAGUAGGAAUGUCUGGAGUCAAGGAGUUGUCGGGAACAACGGCUCGUUCUCAAUCAGUCUGACCAGAGAGAUAUUCUCAUCUCCAGCAUGAGUGCAGUGAAAUGACAUGUGACGUGUGUCUUACCUCCAAUACAUCCUGCAACAAAGUCCAGAGCCAUUCCUGAGGUGAUGAUGAUGAAGAUGAAGAGCCGGUGGUCUGUCCCUCUGGUCUUCUGCUCGGUGUGUUGGUCUGCGCUCACCAGCAGCUGCUGCCAACGGGGCCGCUAUUUUUACUGAAUGAAGUUGAUAUGAAGGGGAAAGUCCAUCUGUGACCAAUAGAAACUCAAGGAUGAAGAAACACCCCCAUCAUCAUCAUCAUCAUCAUCAUACACGUCUGUGCUUACAGACACGAUUUACUGCCAGAGAGAGUAAAUCAACUCAUAAUGCUGCAGGAUCUGAUUUCCAGUGCAGUAGAACUUAAUAUGUAGUUAUUAUCGACUAAACUGUUACAUUAAAUAAAAUAAACUUUCUUUCCAUUCAAACUCAUUUAACAUAAUUAUACAAAUAAACAUUUCCUUUAAAGACA